GAUGAACGCUGGCGGCGUACCUAACACAUGCAAGUCGAACGGAAGGACGAGAAGCUUGUUUCUUUGAUGUUAGCGGCGGACGGGUGAGUAACGCGUGGAUCACCUACUUAUAUUUCGGGGAUAAUCACGGGACACCGGAUAUAAUACCAGAUAAUAUUUUGAACCGCAGGGUGCAAAGGAGAAUGACGGUCUUGGUGUCUCUUAUAGAUGGUUCCGCGCUGCAUUAGCUGGUUGGUAAGGUCACGGCCUACCAAGGCUACGAUGCAUAGCCGACCGGAGAGGAUGAUCGGCCACACUGGAACUGAGACACGGUCCAGACUCCUACGGGAGGCAGCAGUAGGGAAUGUUAGGCAAUGGGCGGAAGCCUGACGCAGCAACGCCGCGUGAGUGAUGAAGGUCUUCGGAUCGUAAAGCCCUGUUAUUGGGGAAGAACAUCUGUGGAAUUAAACGUGGCCAUCGUGACGGUACCGAAUCAAGAAGCCCCGGCUAACUACGUG
Molecule: ribosomal RNA, 497 nt
Filed under: uncultured bacterium
Lineage: Bacteria
Description: partial 16S ribosomal RNA
Rfam family: Bacterial small subunit ribosomal RNA
Source: RNAcentral